Molecule: non-coding RNA, 1786 nt
Organism: Physcomitrium patens
Lineage: Eukaryota; Viridiplantae; Streptophyta; Bryopsida; Funariales; Funariaceae
Source: RefSeq, a predicted model, not a curated record
UACAUGUUUGUUUGUUUGUUUGUUUGUUUGCUUGUGCUUAGACGUUCGCUUGUUCGUUAGUCCGUUCUAAACAUGAGUGAGAGAUCAAAGGCGGAGAAGAGGACGAGUUUUAUGUGGAGUCAUAUGUCACAUGGAUUUGAUUAUGGAUCGAUGUAGAGGAGGAGGUUGGUGGAGUGGAUCCGUGAAGAAGAAGCUGGUGGUGGAGGUGUUCGGGUGUCAUGUAUGUGAUCUAAUUUUGUGUUGUUGAAAUAGAUCGAGCUGUAAAAUGGAUGUUCCUCUGUUGUAUGUCGAACGUAUGUGAUGCAGCGGAUUUAGUCAUGAUAGAGGCGAGUUCAUGGGACUCGGAGUAUGGUGGCGUUAACGGCUUCGAAUCUCAGGAGAAUAGUCAGGACGUGGAGCUAAAAUUGGACGAGAAGGUGUUGCUGCAGAGUCUGCACUUGCUGGUGAAAGAGAGUUCCGUGUAUUAGUUUUAUGAUCUCUUUUUGGCAGCUUUCGGCCUUCUGUAUACUGGAAAGAUGUUCAAUGGGAUGCUGUUCACGUCGUGAAACAACGUUCCAUCAGGCUUUGGUAGAUGAGAGAAAGUUGGGAAGUCGUUCACACUAUCAAGAUGGUAUUGAUAAACCAAUGAUGUGGCAGUCAAUGAAAUAGAAGCCGUGUCACAUUUCUUAGUCUUGUAGUAGCCAGAUGGCUAGUUUGCGACAGUCAAUCAAGCCCAAGUCUGACGUCAAUGGCCUAAAGAAGUGUUUCGAUCUCAAAUAAAAGUAUGAUUCGCAAUGGUUCAAAUGCUGGUCAUGACCAUGACGCACAAUUCGCGCCACCGACACACAUCUGUUCACAACAAUCUGUAAUAGGAAAGGCAACCAGGUCUUGACACACCGCCUCUUAAGACCUACAGAUAACUGGUGGAGGAAUUGAGACCAGAUACUCCACAAGCAAGCUUGACUGACACGAAACCUGCUUCAAAAAAAUCCAUAACCUUGCACACCAGAAGGGAACAUCUGGACCUCUUACUAGUGCAACUGGAAUUUCAAGUUUUGAUCAGUCCGUCGUCUUAGUGGAAGAAAAAUGUUUGACAUUCAUUCACCUCUCCACAGAUGUCGCUUCAGUAGUUUUCAUCUCCUGCUUCUUCUUUCGGCAGCUUAAUUAUUCAUUUCAUUUGUCGCUGAUUUUUGCUUUUUACACAUGGAUAAGAAGACAUUAUUGAGUGACGCUAUUUAUAGCAUUAACGAAUUUCAAGAUAAGCUAAAAGGCAGAGUCUGAAUUGCAGGAUCUUCAAAAUCAAGAGCGAGCGUUGACUGAACUUUCUAUUGAGCAAGACGUCGACUGAAAUCUCUUAAGAAGAUCAAUUCAAGUCAUAAAGAUUGGCACUACGUGUUCACACAACUUCUGUAAAGAAAUAGGUUGUAACUGUUAACAUUUUAGGUGAAGAAGCUAUGAUGCGGUUAAAGCGCACACGAGACUCCAACUCUUUAAUCCAUAUGUCAAUGACAUUGGAAAAAGCUACGGAAAUUGAAGAGCAACACUUGAAUACUUCAACUACGGAAGACAUGAUUCUUCACAUCGUGAUUGUCAAGAUGAAUCGGACAGAGACCUCCACACAAGAACAGCAGUGUAAGAUAUAAUAGAAAGAUCUUGUACACCCUAUCACUCUCCAUCACAGGCAAACGACAAUCCCUGAAUAAGGUAUGUGUGUUGAGAUUGCUAUAUAGGAGAAAAUCAAGCUUGUGUUUCUGCUCUUAACUCUAUCCAUCAAAACCUUCAAUUGACACACAAAAACUUCAUGGUU